UUCCCCCUAAAUGUAUGGAUCAACAAAAUUAACCCCUAAAUAUAUGGAUCAAUAAAAUUAAACACAUAAGAUGAAUCUAGUUCAACUAUGAGGUCACCCAAAUAUUCCCCCUUACAAGAUACAUCUUUCUUAACCUCCUCAAUAAUAUUACUAGACUCAUAGAUACAUUCUUUCUGAUUCACAGUCCAGAUGAUUCUCCCUCACUUGAUACCUCAAUUUUUUGUCAAUCAUACACAAUAAGAGAACCAUUGUCAACAAUAAUUCAAAUAGUAGCUACUCUCUCAGAAUUACUAUUCAUAUGAACAACUUCUCAAUCAUAAAUCAAGUUUGGCUUUGAGAAGAGGUGUGAUGAGAUAAGACUGAUAAUUUGAGAAAAAAGUUAUCAUUAUUUUGGACUUUUUAUUUUUGAAAAAGUGAUUGCUAUGGAGUUUUUUUAGGAGUCAUUCUGUUUUAGACAUUUUUAAAGAAAGGGGUACAAGUGUUUUAUAAUCAUUUUUAAAAUUUGUUUUUUUUUGGUACACAUACCUCGAUCAGUAUUCCAAUGGUUGAUCUUGUUUCCAUUUUCAAGCCAUUUUCCUAUGAUGUAGGAAAAUAUAAUGUUAUAUUGCAUGAUUUAUUUGAACUUGAAAUUUGUAUAGAGACGUACAACUAAAUUGUAAGACCCCAUAAGAUCCUAGCUCACUUCUGCUCGCUAUUGCAUGAUUAAGGGGUCCAAGACUUAGAAAAUUUUACUAAAUGUUAAUACUUAGUCAUUUCCAAUGCCCUUUAAACUUUGAUAAUUUUAGUUUUGACCUUCCCGGCCUUAGAAUGUCGGUUUUAGGGUUAACUCAUGAUCGGGAAUGUCAAAGGUACAUCUCGGGUAAGUUUCAAAUUUUUUUGGGCAAGGUUUGAAGCUUGUUUGGAUGUUCAAAACAAUGAGGCAAUGUGAUAUGUCCGUGACACAUUGCAUAUCGUGUUGGUGGGGAGCAACACGGUGCAUAAUAUUUUGCGUCACUGGUCAUGAUCAAUUUAAUAAGUUUCGGGUAUGUGCAGGUAUUUGAGUCAUUUUCCCUUACUUUACCUCACCCAUGACACGAUAUUAGGGCCCAAAAAGGCAAAAUCACUUAUCUUUUUUCAUAAAUUCUCUCAAGAGAAAAGUUAGAUUCUUCAAAAUCCAAGUUCAAGCUUCAAGAAAUCACCAAGGACCUUCACUAAUACAUCAAUUAAGGUAUGUUAGAUGUUCAUCCAUAGGUCCUUCUUACCCAUGGAGUCCAAUAAUACGUUUUCAAGUUUAAAAUUAUGACUUUUACAUAUUUUCAUGAAUUAUAUCCAUAAACCUCUAUGAAUUUUGAUUUUUAUAUCAUGUUUACAUGUGUUUUCAUUGGAAUCAGCCCUUGAUAUGUUUGAACGAUGAUAUUUGUAUGUUAAAUCCUUGACCCAUGAUUUUCAUAUUACGAUUAUGUUAUCAUCACAUUAUUUAACUAUUCUCAUGCUUUAACUUAUGGCCCACAUAUGUUUGAUGAAAUUCCUUAAUGAUUGGGUUUUUGAACAAUGACUACUUAUUAUGCUUUUGAAGCUUUAGUAUAUUUCUACAGUUAUUGUGAUCAAGUCUUGAGGGUUGAGAAUACCCAAAGUUUGACUAUUUAUUUAGUCUCAAUACUUUCAGGUUGGUUUUAUACAUAUAUGAACAUUAUCAUUUUAGUCAGUUAUCAUACCAGUCAAACAUCAAUUUGGAGUAGGAUUUAGCACCGAGCGAAUCCAGGAAUGGGGGGUUCACCUGCUAGCUGAGGGUGUGAUCUUAAGUAGCAGUCCUCACAUUCUAGAACUACAUAGCCAGUGUAGGUUGAGAUAUUAACCUUCCAAUUGAGGGUUGGCACAUAUCUCACUAAACCACCAAGUAGUAGAGGGUGACUCUUUAGUCCUUCAGGACUUCACUUUAGUGAAUCCACAUAGCCAUGUUUUAGUACCCGUGGGAUGGUACUGACAACCUUCCAACAAGGAUCAUAGGUUGGACCCCAAUUAGCUCAUAUUAGGGGAUGUCAGUUAGAUGAUAGCUUCUAUAGUCUAAGUUUAGUCUUAGUUCAAAAGUCAGUUCAGGUUCAUUUGACCACAGUAUUCAGUUAUCAGUUAAAUCAGUACUCAGAUUUUAGUAUUUUAGUGUACAGACUAUUCCAGCAUUAUCUUAUAGGCUUGGUCCUGCAUUCUUGAAUUCUACAUCUUUCACGUAUACUUUGCAUCAAUUAUCUCAUGUUAUUAAUUAAUUCAGUUAUUAUUCAUGUACAUGAGCCCAUGAAUAUCAACCUAACCUCAUUUAUCAUACCAUUAUAUUCAAAGUACUAAUUGCAUACUUGUUUCUUGCGCUAUGAUAUCUCAUAUUAUAAUUUAGAAUGCUCAGGUUCCCAAUCACACUUAGACUUUCCAACACAUCAGCAACAGUAGUAGUAGUGAGUCCUCAUAUUCUGAGGAUCAAUUAUAUUUUUAUCAGUCUUUUAUUUUAGUUAGAUAGUUGGAGUUAGUUGGGGCCUAACCCAUCAACUCUUAUUCAGCCAUUUUAGAGGCUUUCAGAUAAUUACAUAUAAUCAGUUAGUCUGUUAUUAUUUUUAUUAGUUUUCAGAAAGUUGUUUCAAGAUAUUUUUUUCAGUGCUAUAAUUUCAGAGAUGUUUUAGUAGUUAAACCUUAUGGUGCAUCCAACUUUUUUAUGGGUGUGACAUCUAGUGAGAGUGCAGAGUUAGGUUCUUACCAGUUGUAGGAUAUUUCUCACAUCUAUUAUAAGUAGUGAAAGGGAGAUAGAGGUGCAGAUGUAAGGCCUAUUUAAUGAAAGAAGUCUUCUGCAGCCUUUUUAUAUAGGUUCUUUACCUUGGAGUUAAGAGAAGCUAAGGUGCAUAAGUUUAUCAAUUUGAAGCAGGGGAAUAUGAGUGUGAAAGAUUACUCUCUUAAGUUCAUUCAUCUAGCCAGGUAUGAUCCUAAUGUGGUAUCUGAUCAUAGGUCUAGGAUGAGUAAGUUUCUUUCUGAUGCAGAUGAUAGUAUAGUCAAAGAGUGUAGGACCAUGAUAUUGAUAAAAGAGAUAUACUUGUCUAGGUCGAUGGUCCAUGCUCAGUGGAUUGAGGAGUAGAAGUUUUAGAAAAAAAGAAAGAAUAAAAGAGCCAAAAUAGGUAGCUUCAGUUUUUCUCAUCCGAGGAUAGAGGGUAGUAACCAUCCUCAAUUUUAUCAGUAAUCUUUAGCCCUAGCUCCAUCUUCAGCUAGUGCGCUAGUACCCAAGUUCAGAAAAGUGUGAAUAGUGGUCGUAUAAAUCCUUUUUGCUAGAAAUACGGUAGAAACCAUCAGGGUGUGCGUAGAGAUAGCAGUGAUGAUGCUUUGUGUGUGGUAAGAUAGGAAACAAGGUCAGGGAUUACCUAAAAAGUGCUCAGCAGGGUCAGUCCAGUUAUUCCCCAGUUCCACCUGGUCACCCGAAUCAGUAAGGUGCCACUUCCAGCCUAACGAGUGGUCAACACCCAAAUAGAUUAUAUGUACUUCAGUACCAAUAGGAUCAGGAAUGCUCUUUUGAUGUGGUUACUGGUACGUUACAAGUCUUUUAUUUAUAUGUUUAUGCUUUGUUAAAUCUCGGGGCUUCACUUUCUUUUGUAACCUCCUACAUAGCUGUUAUUUUCAAUGUCAGUCCUGAGACUUUAGCAGAGCCCUUUUUAGUGUCCACCCUAGUAGGUGUCUUCAUUGUAGCCAGGUAGGUAUAUAAUGACUAUUCGAUCAUAAUAUCCCAGAAAGUCACUUCAAUUAAUCUUAUGGAAUUAGAGGUGACUGAUUUUGAUGUCAUCAUCAGCAUGGAUUGGCUCCACUUAUGCUAUGCUUCGGUUGAUUGUAGAAAUAGAAUUUUUUAUUUUUAGUUUCUAAAAUAACUAGUCCUUGAAUGGAGGGGUAGUACUUUAGUACUUAGGGGUCAGCUUGUUUCGUACCUUAGAGCAAGAAAAAUAAUAUCCAAGGGGUGUGCCUACCAUCUUGUUCGAGUUAAAGACUCUAGUUUAGAGACCCUUAAUCUCGAGUCAGUUUCAGAAGUAAGGGAAUUUCCAGAUAUAUUUCCCAAAGAUCUUCUCGGUGUUCCUCUUGAAAGGGAAAUUGACUUGGAAAUAGACCUUCUUCCAUAUGCCCAACCUAUUUCCAUUCCACCUUACAGAAUGGCUCCAGUUGAGCUUAAGGAGUUAAAAGAAUAGUUGAAAGAUAUCUUAGAUAAGGGAUUCAUCAUUCUCAUUAUUUCUCCCCAUGGGGUGCUGUAUUCUUUUUCGUGUGAAAUAAAGAUGAUUCUCUUAGAAUGUGCAUCGAUUAUCAUCAGUUGAACAAAGUCACCAUCAAGAAUAAGUACCCACUCCCUAUAAUUGAUGAAUUGUUCGACCAACUUCAGGGGGCCAGUUAUUUCUCUAAGAUAGACCUCAGAUCCGGCUAUCAUCAGCUUAGAGUCAGAGAAUGUGAUAUUCCAAAAAUAGCUUUCAGAACCUAAUAUGGUCACUUAAAAUUUCUACUCAUGUCCAUUGGACUAACAAAUUCCCUAGCACCUUUCAUGAACUUGAUGAAUAGAGUGUUCAAGAAAUACUUGAACAUGUUCUUCAUAGUCUUCAUUGAUGAUAUUCUUGUCUAUUUUCGUAAUAGAAAUAAUCAUGUAGGCCAGCACAGAAUAGUAUUGCAGACUCUUAGAGCUUAUCAGUUUUUUGCCAAAUUUAGUAAGUGGGUGUUCUGGCUAAGAUCAGUAGCUUUACUCAGCCAUAUUAUAUUUGGUGAUGGCAUUAGAGCUGACCCUCAAAAGACUAAAGUAGUGAGAAACUAGCCCAGGCCCAUUUCUCCAUUAGAUAUCAGGAGUUUCUUGGGUUUGGCUGGCUAUUACAGACGGUUUGUUGAAGGGUUUUUGUGUAUUACAUCCCCCAUUACUAGAUUGACUAAGAAGAAAGUCAAGUUUUAGUGGUUAGAUUUUUGUGAGAAGAUUUUCUUGGAGUCAAAGACUCGACUCACCUCAGCCCUAGUUUUGACACUGCCAGAUGGAUCAAAUGGGUUUGUUGUUUACUAUGAUACUUCCAGAGUUGAUUUGGGUUGUGUUUUGAUGCAGAGAGGUGGGUUGUGUUUUGAUGCCGAGAGGUAAGGUCAAAGCCUAUGCCUCUUGAUAGAUUAAUCCCUAUGAAAAGAAUUAUCGUAACCAUGAUCUUGAGUCAGUAGCUGUUGUGUUUGCUUAGAAAAUUUGGAGGCAUUAUCUACAUGGGGUGCAUGUUGAUAUGUUCAUAGAUCAUAAAAAUUUAUAAUAUGUGUUUUUGUAGAGAGAGUUAAAUCUUCAUCAGAGAAGUGGUUAAAAUUGUAGAAGGACUAUGAUAUAAGUGUUUUGUAUCAUUUAGGCAAGGCCAAUGUAGUGGCAGAUACCCUUUGUAGAUUGUCUAUAAGUAGUGUGGCUCAUAUUGAGAAUGAUGAGAAGAAGUUGGUUCAGGAGGUUCAUCAGUUGCCUAGGUUAGGUAUUCAUUUGGUUAACUUAGCUAAGGGUAGUGUAUGUGUUCAAAAUAGUUCAAAAUCUUUUUUGGUUGCCGAAGUGAAAGAAAAACAAGAUAGGGACCCAUUCUCAUUAAGUUGAAGGAGUCAGUCAGAGAUCAGAAAGUAGAGGUUUUCUCCUAUGGGGGAGAUGGUGUAUUGCAUUACCCGGGUAGAUUGUGUGUGGCAUCUGGUGACGGUUUAAGAUAGCGAAUUUUUGUAGAAGCGCAUGGUGCACGUUACUCUCUUCACCCAGGAGCCACUAUGAUGUACCAUGAUUUACAGGAAAUCGAUUGGCGGAGUGGUAUAAAAAUGGAUAUUGCAGAGUUUAGCCAAGUUCGCUAAUUAUUAGAAGGUUAAGGUUGAGCACCAAAGGCCUAGUGGCAUUAUGCCGGGGUUCAACAUCCCCACAUAGAAGUGGGAGGAGGCGAACAUGGAUUUUGUGAUAGGGUUGCCUUGUUCACGUCACCAACAUGAUUUAAUUUGGGUUAUUGUAGACAAAAUGACCAAAUCAGCCCAUUUCUUACUAGUCCAUACUUCUUAUUCAACUGAGGAUUAUGCCAAGAUCUAUAUUAGAGAGUUGGUUAGUCUGCAUGGAUCCCGUUGUCCAUUAUAUUAGAUAGAGGUACUCAGUUUACCUUUCACUUUUGGAAAGCUUUUCAGAAUGGUCUUGGUACCCAAGUUUGUCUCAGUGCAACCUUUCACCCUCAGACAGAAGAGAGGACCAUUCAGACCCCAGAGGACAUAUUGAGAGCCGGUUUUAUCGACUUUAAUGGAAGUUGGGAUGAUCACAUUCCAUUGAUUGUGUUCGCUUACAAUAAUAGUUAUCUUUCUAGUAUUCAAAUGGCUCCAUUUGAGGCUCUUUAUAGGAGGCAAUAUAGAUCUCUUAUUGGUUGGUUUGAGGUAGGUGAGACCGCUUUGAUAGGUCUAGAUUCAAUAUUUGAUGCAUUGGAGAAAGUUCAGCUAAUCAGAGAAAGGAUUAAGACAGCCCUAAGCCAUCAAAAAUCUUAUGUAGAUGUGAGAAGGAGAGAUCUUGAGUUUGAGGUUGGCGACCUAGUUUAUUUGAGAAUCUCUCCCAUGAAUGGAGUGAGAGUUUUAGAAGAAAGGGGAAGCUCAAUCCUCGAUAUGUUAUCCCAUACAGGAUCUUGAGCUUUUAUAGGAGAGUAGUGUAUGAGCUUGAGUUUCCCGCAGAUCUGGCAUCAGUGCACCCAGUAUUCCAUGUUUCUUUAUUAAAGAAGUGUAUUGGUGACCCAACUGUCGUUAUUCCUUUAGAAAGCUUAGAUGUUCAGAAUAGUCUUUCUUACAAAGAACUCCCAGUUGAAAUCCUUGAUCGGCAGACCCGUAGACUGAGGAGCAAAGAAGUACCCUUGGUCAAAGUUCUUUGACGGAACCAGUCCGUAGAGCUCACUUGGGAAGCAGAAGCAGAUAUGCGAACCAAGUACGCUCACCUUUUCUCUGCAAACUCAGAGUCAGCUUACAGUAACAGUUUUUCCUUGGAUUAUCUCUUUUCCAUUCUCAGUUCCAACAAUAUAAUCAUUUUCUUAUCAUUGCGUGCAUUCACAAAUCAGUUUAGUCAUGUAUCACGUUUUACACUUAGUCAUGUAACCAUGUUUUCAGUUAUGCAUAUUCAGUAUGCAAAUUCAGUUCAAUUAGUAUUCUUAGUGUAAUUAGUCUCAUGCAACGAUGAAUGUUCCCAAUAGGGAGUUAUUCUAAUACCCCGUGUUAGUCUUAGCUCAGAUUAUCUCAUAGUGUGUGCAUAAGAGUCUAAAAACCUAAAAAUUUAGCUAUGUGUUGGGGACUUAACCAUAUUUUUGGCCUCUUAACUUUGAUGAUUUUUAAAGUGACCUUUCCGACCUCGAGACGGUGGUUUCUAAAUUAAGUCAUGUUAAGGGGUGUAAGUAGCAUAUCUGAAGGAAGUUUUGGAUUUUUAUUACAAGGAUUGAGGCACUUUUGGAUUUCAAUUCCAGAACCUUACUGUGAUUGUGGUGCGUUACGGUGGGUUUAGUGGUGGCAUCAUUGGCGCAUUGCGGUGAUGGCCUAAUCGGUAUUUCAAUUACAAAUUUAAAUCCGAGAGGGGCAAUUUUCUCUUCACGAGAUUAAGUCAUCAUUUAGGGAAUUAUAUGCCUAAUUUCCUCAAUUCCUCUCUAAGAUAAACCAUAACCAUCACCCCAAAUUCAUGAAGUUCAAUCAUUAUUCCUUCAAGAAAACACAAGAAUUCAAGCUUCACCACCCAACAACAAUCAAGAAAGUUAAUUCUCUUGCAAGAUUAAAGCUUUAAGGUAUGUCAGAUGUUCAUCUAUGGGUCCUAUUCACCCAUGGAGUCCAAGAAUCCAUUUUCAAGUUUAAAAUUAGGAUCUUUACAUAUUUUCAUGAAUUAUAUCCAUGAACUUCCAUGAAUUUUGAUUUUUAUAUCUUGUUUACAUGUGUUUUCAUUGGAAUUAGCCCUUGACACCCUUGACACAUUUGAAGGAUGAUAUUUCUAUGUUAAAUCCUUAACCCAAGAUUUUAGUAUUGAAAAUGUUACUAUCUUAUGUUUUAACUAUUCCCAUGCUUUAAUUCAUGACCCAUAUGUGUUUGAUGAAAUGCCUAGAUGAUUGGGUUUUGAACUUUGACUACUUAUUAUGUUUCCAAAGAUUUAGUAUCUUUCUACUAUUAAUGUUAUCAUGUCCUGGGGGUUAUAAAUACCCAAAAACUUAGUUUUUUACUUAGUCUUAGUAUUUUCAGAAUAGUUUUGGAUAAAUUUUAGUAUUAUCAGUUCAAUCAGUUAUCAUACUAGUCAAACUUAGAUCAAUUUAGUAACACUGAGUGAACCUAGGAAUUGGGGAUCACCUUCCAAUUGAGGGUAUGACCUUUAGUAUUAGUCCCUGUAUUCCAGAACUAUGUAACCAGCAUAGGUUGAGAUGUAAACCUGCUAGUGGAGGGUUGACAUAUAUCUUACUAGAGCACCUAUCAGUGGAGGGUGACUCUUUCGUCCUUUAGGACUUCACUUUAGUGGAUCCACAAAGCCAUGUAUUAGUACCAGUGGCACGGUACUGAUACCCUUCCAACUGAGGUCACAGUUUAGACCCCAAUUAGCUCAUAUUAGGGAAUGUCGGUUAGAUAAUAGAUCCCACAGUCUCAGUCCAGUCUCAGUUCGAAAGUCAGUUCAGGUUUUCUAGACCAUAGUAUUCAGUUUAUCAGUUAAAUCAGUACUCACGUUGUAGUAUUUUAGUUUACAGACUUCCAGUAUCAUAUUAUAUGCUUGGUCAUGCAUUUUCAGAUUUUACAGCUUUCAUGCAUACUAUGAAUCAGUUAUCUCAUGCUAUUCAUUCAGCUGGUUAUUAUUCAUACACAUGAGCCUAUGUAUGUUGGUCUAACUCCAUAUAGUAUACCAGUACAUUCAAAGUACUGACCACAUACUCGUUUCUUGCACUAUGAUAUCUCAAAUCAUAGGUUUGGAUGCUCAGGUUCCCGACCACACUUUGACAUUCCAGCGCAUCAGCAGCAGCAACAGUGGUUUGUCCUUAUAUUUUGAGGACUAAUUAUGUUUAUUUCAAUAUUUUAUUUCAGUUAGACAGUUGGAAUUAGUUAGGGCCUGUCCUAUCAACUCUUAUUCAGUCAAUUAGAGGCUUUCAAAUACUUUCAAACAGUCAGUCAGUUUUGUCAUUAUUUUUAUCAGUUGUUAGAUAUUUGUUUUAGAUAUUCGUUUUCAGGCUUUUAAUUUCAGAGAUGUCUUAGUAUUUCAACCUUAUGGCGUAUUCAUCUAUUCCGCAUAUGUGUAGCUUUUAUUAUCAGUUUUAUUCAGUGCUCACAAUAGGUACCAGCUCAUGGGUUAGCUUGUGGUCACUUAUGAUAGUAAGCACUGUGUGGCGUCCAAGGUAUACUCCCGCUGCGUUACACUGCAAGUUGGGGAACUCGAAGACUUGGGAACACUUACCUUGGGAAGGUUUCUGUUUUGUAGAAAUAGGAAUUAGAAGUUUAUAAUUCCUAAUUUACAAGAGUCUUGUAAUUUUUUGAUUGUUGAGGAUCAAGUGUUUUAGUAAAGUUGGGGUUAAAUCCUGUAGAGGUACAUGUCGUGAUUUUUUACUUCUCUUUAAGCCGGGUGUUUUCUACAUAAAAAUCAC
Molecule: long non-coding RNA, 9575 nt
Filed under: Capsicum annuum
Lineage: Eukaryota; Viridiplantae; Streptophyta; Magnoliopsida; Solanales; Solanaceae
Description: long non-coding RNA (CANN_LNC016248)
Source: RNAcentral